AACCUCCUCACGCAACCUACCUGGCCGCGCCCGGCGGCCCUAGGCCUCCUCUAUAAAACCAUCGCCCCUGCGCACCGUCCUCCCCCACCUCCCGAUCAAGCCAUCCAGCCGCCUCUCCUCGCCCUCCUGCCUGCGCGCAUCUCUCUAGAGCUUAAACUCUCCUAGAGAGAUCUCAGGCAGCCCCAAUAACCAACCGCUCGACCCAACUCGUCGUCGUCGUCGUCGCAGAUGGCCGGCCUCAGGAUGAAGCUCGUCGCCGCCGCCGCCGUGGCCGCCGCGCUCGUGGCGUCCGCCGCCGCCCAGGCCCCCGCGCCAGCGCCCACCUCCGACGCCUCGGCCGCGGUGCCCCUCGCGGCGGCGUCCUUCGCCGCCGCCGCCUUCGGCUACCUCUUCUGCUAGAUCCGUCGUCCGGGGAUGCCGUCGUGCUCCCUGGCCGGUCGGGCCUGCUGAUGAUGAUAUGAUUCGUUUUGGCGUGAGUCGAGUCCCCUGUUCGUGGCGCGUGUUGAGGGAUGUCGGUGGGCGUGUGUAUGUACGAGUCGGCGGCGGGUGGAGGUGUGCGCGCGUGGUUGGAUACGUGCGUCGACGCACCACUCUUUGUGGUGGAGAUCAUGUACCCGCUGCGCUUCUGUUUAUCAAUGAGAUGAUUUAUUUGAUUCUUUUCAUCUUAUAUACAAUAUACAUGAGAAUUGCGUAUUCAGUUUGUUGUGUUUUGCUCUGCAAACUUGCGAUGUGCAGAUUGUUGUAAAACACUGUCGAACGAUUCUCCCUCAAUCGAGUUCUUCCGUUACAAAGAAAAAGAAAACGGUGCAUCUCUCUUAAAAAAACGAUUACUAUUCUUACGACCUGAAAAUUAAGGGGUGCAGGCUACAGUUCAAAGAUGUAAUUGGAAUCUGAAAUCGAUUUGACCGACUAAGGAACCCACCAUCUGAAUUCUAAGCAAAACGACCGGCAUAACGACUUUCAUUUAUGACCAACCAAUUCAGAAUUGACAAGCUUUAUUUUUCCUCCCUCCCUCGAAAAGAAUGCUGUGGCACGGAGUCCUCGUGAAGUUCGUUAGGAGAUGCCGGGCCGGGGUUGCUUAAUUAGUUUGGUGAGGGAUCCGAACGUUGAAAUGAUUGAAGCAUGUUGGCGUCGCCACUUGCCAGCCAAGAAGCCAUGUGCUGCUCGUUAAGCACUGGUCCACAGAUGAGUUGUCUUGGUAGGGGCAGCCGUACCCGCUGUAUCAGCGCUGGCAUGCUCCAAGCUGGAAAUGGUGAGCCGUCGCAAUCGCUGCAGUAUUACCCGACUAAUAUGUGCUUUAUGGAAUUGCAGGACUGCUUAAUUUUGACCGUGCUCGUGGAUUUAGAUGCUGGUCGAUGGCUCCAGCUCGAUGCCUUUUCCUACUGUACUGGCUACUGCCGACCGAGAGUCUCAGAGCGUGCAGAAUGCAGGUCGAGUUCCGCAAAGUUGUUGGCGUACACAGCUGGGGAUUGGGCCAGUGCCAGCUCUACACACCACUGGGCCACCUUUGUGUUUUCUCCGGCCUGCUUGAAAAUGUAUUGGGCCAGUUUGUUGGGCCGCUUACUUACAUCUGUGCUCAGCUAAAUCCAGCGAGAACAAUGGAAGAGUUUUUGGCUCUAUACAACAAAUCUUUUGGUUUUUUCCCCCCCUUUCUUUUUCAUCCACAUAAGACACCCACGAUGGCGUUUAUAUUUGUAAGAUAACUGAGUUGCAUUUUUAAGUGCCUCAUUUCUGGAUUAUCGGGCAGCUUCUGAAAGGAAGCUCCAAUUAUAGUAGACGAAGUAGAAGGUUUUUUUUUCGAUUCAAGACCUGGAACGUAGGUAGCUAGAGUCUACGCACUGCAGUUACAUACUGACAAAUUGCAAUGGCGAGUCGGCGACCGACAAGCAGAGGCCAGGCACAGCUGCGUCACAUGAACUCGCUCAUCAUGGCGAGCACCUGCGCCAUCGUGGGCCUCUCCUCCGGCGCCUCGGCGGUGCACAGCACGCCGAUCUUCACCAUCCCCAUCGUCUCCUCCCCUUCGCCGCCUUCCUCGCCGUCGGCGGCCUUGUGGUCCGUCACCACCUCCAGGAGCACCAUCCCGAAGCUGUACACGUCGGACUCCUGCGUCGCCCUCGCGCCCGCGCCCGACGCCAGCUCCGGCGCCGCGUACCCGUGCCACCCGACGCUCGCCGCUGGCGGGGCCGCCGACGACGUCGCGGUCGCCGCCCGGCCCAGGAACAGGUCCGGCGGGCACCGAGCGGCCUGCGGGACGACGGACUGCUGGAUGUUUGUGGCGUAGCGCAUGAGCCCGCACUCGGACACGCACGCGCCGCCGCGCUCGUCCAGGAGGAUGUUGGACGGCUUCACGUUCGCGUGCACAAGCGCCGGCCGCGCCGGGAACGUGUGGAUGUAGUUCAGGCCCUGCGCCGCGCCGAACAGUAUGCUCUUCCUCCCCGCCCAGUCCAGGCUCCUCGCGCCACCACCUGCAGCAACAACAACGGCCCGUCAGGAACACUCGCUUUCUUGCACCGACUGCAAAUUGGCAAUGCAUUUGGGAUUUCAUUAUCUCAUUUCAGCGCGACGACGCACCACUGGCUUGCAGAAGGGACUGGAGGCUCCCGUUGGGGAGGAAGUCGUAGACGAGGAGGCGCUCGCCGUUGGAGUUGCAGUACCCCCUGAGGCUGACGACGUGCCGGUGGCGGAGCCGGCCGACGAGCCGCAUGUGGCGGUCGAACGCCUUGCUCCGGCUGGCGGGGAACUGCAGCGCGCUCAGGCGCUUGACGGCCACCACGAUGCCGUCGUCGAGCACCGCCUUGUAGGUGCUCCCGGACACGCCCUUGCCGAGCACCUCGGCGGACGCCUUGAGGAGGCUCUCCAGCCGCAGCUCCUCGCCGCCCUCGAAGCAGACCAACCCGCCGCUCUUCUGGCACUUGUCGUCCCCGUUCGCCCUCUUCUCUUGCUCCUCGAAGCAGAGUGCCGCGUCGGAGGCGUCCUUCGCCGACCGGAGCUUCCUCCUCAUGUAGACGAACAUGGCCACGGAGAUGGCUAGCGAGACCGUGAUGAGCACUGCGUUGCCAAUGCCGGUGGCCAUGAGUGCAGUCAAGCUAAGCUUACUGAAACCUCCAUUGCUGGAACUGGAAGGCACACUACCACUAACGUUCACUGCAGCACCAGGAGAUUGAGCAGCGAUACUGGUGGUAGCAUUGGAAGAACUAUCCGAUCCUAACGCAUUAUAAGCACGAACACAUCUUGGCAGAGGCGUGCCACAGAGAGCGAGAUUGCCGCCGAAAGCCGACCUCGGGAACCUGGACAGAUCGCCGGAGAUCUCCCCAGCGAGCUUGUUCCCGGACACGUUCAAGCUCCUGAGCGACGGGGCGCGCAGCGCCUCCAGGCCUCCACGGAAGCCAUUGUGCUCCGCUCUAAGCGUGAGCAGAGCACCCAGCGAGAUGUUCAGGCUCCCGGUGAGCCGGUUGCGGGCGACGAGCAGGUGCCGCAGCCACGGGCUCGCCGUGGCGUCGUCCAGCGGGGGGAGGGCGCCGGACAGGGAGUUGUUCCUGACGGCGAGCGCCCUGAUAUGGCUGAGCCGCAGGAGCGGCGCCACCUCGCCGGCCAGCGAGGCGCCGUCGAGGAAGACCCCCACCACCCUGCCCCUGGAGCACCUGAUCCCGAACCACGUGCUGGAGCACGGGUUGGGGCCGUGCCAGGUCGCCAGGGCCGUGGCGUUCGGGUUGUAGGACUUGAAGGAGAGCAGCGCGGGCAGGUCCUGGUGGCCG
This 3755-nucleotide long non-coding RNA is filed under the name Setaria italica (foxtail millet). RNAcentral describes it as "long non-coding RNA (SITA_LNC001612)". Lineage: Eukaryota; Viridiplantae; Streptophyta; Magnoliopsida; Poales; Poaceae. The record is from RNAcentral.